AGCUUUGCGCAGUGGCAGUAUCAUAGCCAAUGAGGUUUAUCCGAGGCGCGAUUAUUGCUAAUUAAAAAAAAAAAAAAAAAACAUACACACAACUUGUUGAAAAGUUUUUCCAUUUUAAAACUAUUUUAAUAAAU
Manis javanica (Malayan pangolin) is the source of this 134-nucleotide non-coding RNA. The record is from RefSeq and is a predicted model, not a curated record. NCBI's taxonomy places the organism in Eukaryota, Metazoa, Chordata, Mammalia, Pholidota, Manidae.